Molecule: ribosomal RNA, 460 nt
Filed under: uncultured bacterium
Lineage: Bacteria
Description: partial 16S ribosomal RNA
Rfam family: Bacterial small subunit ribosomal RNA
Source: RNAcentral
CCUACGGGCGGCAGCAGUGAGGAAUAUUGGUCAAUGGACGAGAGUCUGAACCAGCCAAGUAGCGUGAAGGAAGACUGCCCUAUGGGUUGUAAACUUCUUUUAUAUGGGAAUAAAAUGUUCCACGUGUGGGAUUUUGUAUGUACCAUAAGAAUAAGGAUCGGCUAACUCCGUGCCAGCAGCCGCGGUAAUACGGAGGAUCCGAGCGUUAUCCGGAUUUAUUGGGUUUAAAGGGAGCGUAGGUGGAUUGUUAAGUCAGUUGUGAAAGUUUGCGGCUCAACCGUAAAAUUGCAGUUGAAACUGGCAGUCGUGAGUACAGUAGAGGUGGGCGGAAUUCGUGGUGUAGCGGUGAAAUGCUUAGAUAUCACGAAGAACUCCGAUUGCGAAGGCAGCUCACUGGACUGCAACUGACACUGAGGCUCGAAAGUGUGGGUAUCAAACAGGAUUAGAUACCCCAGUAGUC